AGAAGAAGAAGAAGAAGAAGAAGAAGAAGAAGAAGAAGAAGAAGAAGAAGAAGAAGAAGAAGAAGAAGAAGAAUUGGAUAGCUGGAGGAGAGAGGAGUGCUACAAAGAUAUGGACAAAGUCAGAGUUACCUGGGAAGAGGAAAUCUCAAUUGAGAAAAUGUCAUCCUCAGGUUGCCUGUAGGAAAAUCAGUGAUUCACUGAACCAUCAUCAGAGAACCACAACUGAACAAUGUGCAGAGACUGAAAAAUUUGGGGACACUGAGUCCUGAAUGAAUGUCUUUAUCAAAACCUUCCAAAUGCCAUGUGAGCAGCUUUUCCAGAGUCCUGCUGCCGUGACUAACUCGCCAUGAAGGACCGUGAGCCAGAAUAAAC
Peromyscus maniculatus bairdii (prairie deer mouse) is the source of this 372-nucleotide non-coding RNA. The record is from RefSeq and is a predicted model, not a curated record. Lineage: Eukaryota; Metazoa; Chordata; Mammalia; Rodentia; Cricetidae.